AUUGCAGGCUGCAACUCGCCUGCAUGAAGUCGGAAUUGCUAGUAAUCGCAGAUCAGCAUGCUGCGGUGAAUACGUUCCCGGGCCUUGUACACACCGCCCGUCACACCAUGGGAGUCGGUAACACCCGAAGUCGGUAGCCUAACCGUAAGGAGGGCGCCGCCGAAGGUGGGAUUGAUGACUGGGGUGAAGUCGUAACAAGGUAGC
This 204-nucleotide ribosomal RNA is filed under the name uncultured bacterium. Its description in RNAcentral is "partial 16S ribosomal RNA". It matches the Rfam family "Bacterial small subunit ribosomal RNA", at positions 1297 to 1500 of the family's 1533-position model. The record is from RNAcentral.